UGUCUCAAGAGAAAAAGUCACGGAGCUGCACCACUUGCUCUGCUUUUGGAGCAAGGACUAAGAGUGCAGGUGGGAUACAAGGUGGUCGAGAGAUGAUAAAUUGAAUAAAAAUUCUUGCAAGUGAGACUCACGUAAGUUAACGUGGCACUAAAUUGCUAGCAGUUGACUCUUUCCAUUGAGGACGCGGUGAGUAUUCGCUAUUGUUUUUUUUCUUCUCUACCAUCAUCAUCCUUGAUUACAUUAAUUGUCUCCCCUCUCUUGGAUCUUUCUUGUUGUCAUUUUGUCUCUAGACCUCUCUCCUUUGAUGUUUCCUCCUCUAAAUAGGCGUCAGCAGGUGCCCAUUGGAUCUCGGAUAUUCUUUAAAGGCAAUGUAAUUGUCGUUUGUCAUACUCGACUCGGAAGGUCACUAGGUGGAUGGUGGUGUUAGCCGUGAACAACGAUAUGUCCUUGUCAUGUGAGAUUUUUUUCCCCCUCCUAGUGUGGUGUGGUUGUCCUCCACUAGUCCACUCUCUCGUUUGCUUUAUAGGACGUUGUAUCCUUUUGAAUAGCAAUUCAUACUGAUCACACUGGCUUGACAAAAGACAAGGAAGAUGCUUGUGUGGUCAAAAGAAGCAAGGCAGGGCACCAACUUGCCAGUCAAGUUUGGUUUUUGCUUGGGGGCCUCUCGGUCGCGAACACGCAUGGUUUGACUGCGCUCCAAAUUGUACACGUGCGAACAGUAUAUCUUGUUCCGUUGUUGAGCAUUCUUGUGUCUGACAGCUACUACAACGUCUCUCUCUCUCUCUCUCUCUCUCUGACUUUUACUAGUGAGUGAGGAGUUUCACUGAAAAGGAUAACGCAUGCAGUUGCGUCAGAUUAUCAAGGUAGAGUAGGUCGGACAACUGAUUAUUAUUAAAUAAUUAAGAAGGUGGUCACCAUAAUUUCUUGCAAUUAUUUAUACCAUUAGGAUACAACCAGAAUCCGGUUCUUAGUCCGGCAUCUUACAUGCUACCACUACUCCUCCGAUCUAACAGAACUUAACGGUAUGGACACCGGAGAAAUGUUGAGCCGCUGCAGCAAUUCCGGCCGCCCCAUCACUCCGUGUGCGCCUAUCGGAGUCCGCUGAUGCGGUAGUAGCAGAGCAAAACCACAAUAACCACGACGCCACGGACGACCAGAAAUCGGCUCCGGAUUCCAUCUUCAUUCUCGCUUCCCACCCAACGGGCCGCCGAGUGGACCAACUUGGGUUUGAUUUGUUUUUGGUCAAGUGUCUGUGAGCUCACGAUGUGUACUAGCUUAUGGCCACGGAAGGACUCGCGCGCUCGAUUGUGUGCAGCUACAAAACCACUACUACAAUAUAUACCAAGGACGGACGACUGUUCUUGUUUGGUCUUGGAGUGAGGUCACUCGUGUGACCUUUACCGCAUGACACGUAGUAUGCUAGCAAAGCAAGCACUGCACGGCAAACCAUGACGCUGCUUUUGCUUUACUAUUUCCUGGUCGACAGGGAAAGCAACGAACUUGGUCGCCAAG
RNAcentral lists this long non-coding RNA (1512 nucleotides) under Sorghum bicolor (sorghum). RNAcentral describes it as "long non-coding RNA (SBIC_LNC005854)". Lineage: Eukaryota; Viridiplantae; Streptophyta; Magnoliopsida; Poales; Poaceae. The record is from RNAcentral.